RNAcentral lists this long non-coding RNA (441 nucleotides) under Phoenix dactylifera (date palm). Its description in RNAcentral is "long non-coding RNA (PDAC_LNC010001)". The record is from RNAcentral. Lineage: Eukaryota; Viridiplantae; Streptophyta; Magnoliopsida; Arecales; Arecaceae.
UCUGAAGGCACGCUCCACCACCCCUCCUUUGAGAAAGUCUAGAGGUAGAGAGGGUCUUUUAUCUUUAAUAGACUAAGGUUUCAUGCCAACUGAAAAAAAUUAAAGAGGAAAAAAAGAGUUAGAGAGGAGAGAAAAGAAUGUGGUGCCCUUAUUUGCUUCUUUUUCUCCUUCCUUGAUUACAAAAAGCUAUGUAAAAUGGGGAUUAGAGUUUCUUAUGGCUAGAUGGAGGUAGAAAAAGGCAUAGGGAAGGAAUAAAAUCUAGGUUUUUUGAAAAGCUUUUGAUAUAGUCUCCCCCAGGCCUUCUAAAUUUUUUUCUAAAUUUUGCCUUUUUUAUUUAAGGGAGAAUAAGUGAGUAUUUAUAAAGAGAGUUAUGGAUUAAGAGCUAGGGUUUAAUAAGAGAUAAUAUGGUUUUAGAUGUAUGGGUUGUCAUGAAGUUCUAAA